This 481-nucleotide ribosomal RNA is filed under the name uncultured bacterium. RNAcentral's name for it is "SSU rRNA". It matches the Rfam family "Bacterial small subunit ribosomal RNA", at positions 26 to 517 of the family's 1533-position model. The record is from RNAcentral.
AGGACGAACGCUGGCGGCGUGCCUAACACAUGCAAGUCGAACGCGCUCCAUUCGGUAGCAAUACUGAUGAAGAGCGAGUGGCGAACGGGUGAGUAGCACGUGAGCAACCUGCCCCGAAGACCGGGACAACACCGGGAAACCGGUGCUAAUACCGGAUAUCCCUAUCGGACCGCAUGAUCUGAUAAGGAAAUGGAUUCCGCUUCGGGAGGGGCUCGCGGCCUAUCAGCUAGUUGGUGAGGUAACGGCCCACCAAGGCAUCGACGGGUAGCUGGUCUGAGAGGACGAUCAGCCACACUGGGACUGAGACACGGCCCAGACUCCUACGGGAGGCAGUAGUGGGGAAUCUUGCGCAAUGGGCGAAAGCCUGACGCAGCAACGCCGCGUGGAGGACGAAGGCUUUACUGAGUUGUAAACUCCUUUCAGCAGGGACGAUAGUGACGGUACCUGCAGAGAAGCACCGGCAACUACGUGCCAGCAGCCG